This 1347-nucleotide ribosomal RNA is filed under the name uncultured bacterium. RNAcentral describes it as "bacterial SSU rRNA". It matches the Rfam family "Bacterial small subunit ribosomal RNA", at positions 28 to 1381 of the family's 1533-position model. The record is from RNAcentral.
GACGAACGCUGGCGGCGUGCUUAACACAUGCAAGUCGAACGAUGAAGCCUAGCUUGCUAGGUGGAUUAGUGGCGAACGGGUGAGUAAUACGUGAGUAACCUACCUUUAACUCUGGGAUAAGCCUGGGAAACUGGGUCUAAUACCGGAUACGACCAAUCUCCGCAUGGGGUGUUGGUGGAAAGCGUUAUGUAGUGGUUAUAGAUGGGCUCACGGCCUAUCAGCUUGUUGGUGAGGUAACGGCUCACCAAGGCGACGACGGGUAGCCGGCCUGAGAGGGUGACCGGCCACACUGGGACUGAGACACGGCCCAGACUCCUACGGGAGGCAGCAGUGGGGAAUAUUGCACAAUGGGCGCAAGCCUGAUGCAGCGACGCCGCGUGAGGGAUGACGGCCUUCGGGUUGUAAACCUCUGUUAGCAGGGAAGAAGAGAAAUUGACGGUACCUGCAGAGAAAGCACCGGCUAACUACGUGCCAGCAGCCGCGGUAAUACGUAGGGCGCGAGCGUUGUCCGGAAUUAUUGGGCGUAAAGAGCUUGUAGGCGGUUUGUCGCGUCUGCUGUGAAGGCCGGGGCUUAACCCCGUGUAUUGCAGUGGGUACGGGCAGACUAGAGUGCAGUAGGGGAGACUGGAAUUCCUGGUGUAGCGGUGGAAUGCGCAGAUAUCAGGAGGAACACCGAUGGCGAAGGCAGGUCUCUGGGCUGUAACUGACGCUGAGAAGCGAAAGCAUGGGGAGCGAACAGGAUUAGAUACCCUGGUAGUCCAUGCCGUAAACGUUGGGCACUAGGUGUGGGGAACAUUCCACGUUUUCCGCGCCGUAGCUAACGCAUUAAGUGCCCCGCCUGGGGAGUACGGCCGCAAGGCUAAAACUCAAAGAAAUUGACGGGGGCCCGCACAAGCGGCGGAGCAUGCGGAUUAAUUCGAUGCAACGCGAAGAACCUUACCAAGGCUUGACAUAUACUGGACCGCAUCAGAGAUGGUGUUUCCCUUCGGGGCUGGUGUACAGGUGGUGCAUGGUUGUCGUCAGCUCGUGUCGUGAGAUGUUGGGUUAAGUCCCGCAACGAGCGCAACCCUCGUUCUAUGUUGCCAGCACGUAAUGGUGGGGACUCAUAGGAGACUGCCGGGGUCAACUCGGAGGAAGGUGGGGAUGACGUCAAAUCAUCAUGCCCCUUAUGUCUUGGGCUUCACGCAUGCUACAAUGGCCGGUACAGAGGGUUGCGAUACUGUGAGGUGGAGCUAAUCCCUAAAAGCCGGUCUCAGUUCGGAUUGGGGUCUGCAACUCGACCCCAUGAAGUCGGAGUCGCUAGUAAUCGCAGAUCAGCAACGCUGCGGUGAAUACGUUCCCGGGCCU